GUUCUGCAGGAAGGAGGACAGCAGACUUUAGGACCCCACAGCACGGCAGUGCUGACCAUUUCACCCUCUUGGUCCCCUUGAGGAAUAGGGACGGGGAGCCCUCUGGGGAUGGGCGAGGUCUUCCAGGACAGGCUUGAUUUUGGUCCUGUUUUCUGAGGUUGGGUUAAAACACCGACCAUGGCAGAGGGGGCACAGCUCGGGUUCCCACACAUCACUUUUCACAGCCUCCAAGGGCAGCAGUGCAUGUGGAGGAGACGUUUCCCAUGAGGCCAAGGCCUUCAGUGCUCACCGAUGCCCUCGGCGAAGUUGGGGUAGAACUCGUCGGUGAAGAGGGGCUCGGGCAGCUCACGGAAGUACAGCUUCAGCGUCCCUGCGAUGGCGUUCACAUCCAUCUCGCUCAUCAUCACCGACACAUCCUUGUUAUCUGGAAAGAGCAUGGAAAUGCAGCGGCCUCCUUCAGGAUCCCAAUAAAUGAAAAAAAGACACAGCGAAGGAUAUGACAUGCCCAGGCCAUGGAGUGCUCUGAGAUCUCAUCGCCAACACCACCGCCCACACCUCCAUCCCGUCCUGCGCAGGCCGACACUCACUGACGUCGAAGGCUGCCUUCAGUGCCUGGAUGUCCGUGGCCACUCCGGACACGCGGUAGAUGCCCACCUCCUCCAUGCCUCGGCGCUCGAUCUCCUCCACGCACUGGCGUACGAUGUAGGGCACCUUGGACCUCUCUCUCCUAUGGAAGGAGGAAAUGUUCUCAAUGUCCUGACAGCCCUGCUUGGGCCACAACACAGGAAACCUGUCCCCUAUCUAUACACAUGGAGGUGGAGUGAGGACAGUGACGAAGAUGCCCAGGUCUGGGACUGCACACACAGCCUUCUGCAUGCCUGCCCUCCCUCUGCAAGCCCUGUCCUCAUUGCAUGUACUUUCUCAGGACCUUUCUAAGAGGCUGAAGCAGCCAGACCCUCUGCAAAUCACACAUGAUCUUUGUGGGAAGGUCAGGAGUCCUAAGUAAAGUCAGCACAGAAAGGGCAUCUGAUAGAUUCCAGGCCUGGGGUUAGCAGCCUGUGCCCCCAGCUGGGGGAUCAGACCCGGUGUUGGUCCUGCCACCCGCGUGCUGUGUGAGAGGAGAAUCCCUGACCCCUGCCCUGGGCUUGGACCUUAACACAUCUGACGAAUGAAGGGUUGCCUCAGCACCAGCAGCUCCUGUGCUGCUAAGUGCUUUUCUCCUCUGAAUCUUAGCGAUGAACAAUUCCAAUACCGUCACACAGGACACUAGAGUAAGAAUACUUCAAAGUGAGCGCCGUGCUGAGGCCUUUAGUUCUGUUUUGCAACUGGAUUUGGGAGCACAUCAAAGCUGCUUCUCAAGCCACCCUCAUUAGCAGUGGUUAUUUGGGGGAGCUGCUGCUGGAGUCCUCGCUGCUCAUGCCCAGAGCCCUCCCAGAGUGCUACACAAGUGGCUGCCGUGCAGUUGGGGGUGGGGAGUGGUGUUUAGACACAGAAAGGAGUCCAGGGUGUGACUGAUGGAGGCCCCAGCCCACAUGACCAGCAAGUUCAGGGGCCCAGCUGGAUUCCAUCCUGGGGAAGCAAAUGAAUUCUCAGAGGAAGUGGUCUGUGUCUGCAAGAACUGCUCUCAAACCAAACAGGUUUCUCUUGGCAACUGACUCGUGACAAAGGGGCAGGGGUUAUGGCCAUUCAACAGGAACCUGGGACCAUGACAAAUUCCAAGCGAGGGCAGAAAACCGUGCACUUGGGCAGUUCCUGGAGCCAGCCCUACUGCUUCCAAGCAAGGCGGCAAGGACAUUCCUGAGCUGGUAAACACAGGAGGUAGCUGAACACACCAAGUGUUCCCUGGGGCCUGACCUCACCACGCAGCGGCCACACAGAGAGAGGAGAGACCCACACAUGCUCUUCUCUGCAGAAACAGCUGAAGGGACAGGCACCCUCAGUGCAUGAGCCCAAGCCCCUCCCCACUCACUUGGUGACCACAGCAAUCUUGACUCCGAAGACCCCUGUCUGUUUUCGGGAUGGCAUCCUCUUCAAGCUGAACUCCCUGCUGUUGAACUUGAUCGAGAGCUUUACUUCAAUCUAUAGAGGGGAGAAAGGGCACAGUCCUCUGAUCUAUCUGGUCCUCAAAGCCCAAGGUCCCAAGGGCCCCUGGGAGUCUCAUCAAAUAUUUCCACCCCCAAGGCAUGCAGUGGUCUCAGCAUGAGGUAGGGCUGCCCCUCAGGGAAUCCCCUAGUCUACUUCAGCAACAGCCGGGAUUGUUGAAGAUGGUGUAAAGGACUGGCUUCUGCAGAACCACCUCCUAAAAUCCCCGCUGCUUCUCUU
Long non-coding RNA from Macaca mulatta (Rhesus monkey), 2322 nucleotides. RefSeq lists it as uncharacterized. NCBI's taxonomy places the organism in Eukaryota, Metazoa, Chordata, Mammalia, Primates, Cercopithecidae. The record is from RefSeq and is a predicted model, not a curated record.